Molecule: ribosomal RNA, 1488 nt
Filed under: uncultured bacterium
Lineage: Bacteria
Description: partial 16S ribosomal RNA
Rfam family: Bacterial small subunit ribosomal RNA
Source: RNAcentral
AUGGCUCAGGAUGAACGCUAGCGACAGGCUUAACACAUGCAAGUCGAGGGGCAGCGGUGGUGAAGGCUUGCUUUACCAGCCGGCGACCGGCGCACGGGUGAGUAACACGUAUGCAACCUGCCUGCCACAGCCGGAUAAUCGGGAGAAAUUCCGUCUAAUACGGCAUAAUGCAUCGACGGGACAUCCUGUUGGUGCCAAAGGUUGAUUCCGGUGGCGGAUGGGCAUGCGUCGCAUUAGUUAGUUGGCGGUGUAACGGACCACCAAGACGACGAUGCGUAGGGGUUCUGAGAGGAAGGUCCCCCACACUGGUACUGAGACACGGACCAGACUCCUACGGGAGGCAGCAGUGAGGAAUAUUGGUCAAUGGGCAGGAGCCUGAAUCAGCCAAGUCGCGUGAGGGAUGACGGUCCUAUGGGUUGUAAACCUCUUUUGCCGGGGAGCAAAGUGCCGCACGUGUGCGGUUUGGAGAGUACCCGGAGAAAAAGCAUCGGCUAACUCCGUGCCAGCAGCCGCGGUAAUACGGAGGAUGCGAGCGUUAUCCGGAUUUAUUGGGUUUAAAGGGUGCGUAGGCGGACGCUUAAGUCAGCGGUAAAAUUGCGGGGCUCAACCUCGUCGAGCCGUUGAAACUGGGUGCCUUGAGUGGGCGAGAAGUACGCGGAAUGCGUGGUGUAGCGGUGAAAUGCAUAGAUAUCACGCAGAACUCCGAUUGCGAAGGCAGCGUACCGGCGCCCUACUGACGCUGAAGCACGAAGGCGUGGGUAUCGAACAGGAUUAGAUACCCUGGUAGUCCACGCAGUAAACGAUGAAUGCUAGUUGUCCGGGGCGAUUGAGUUCUGGGUGACACAGCGAAAGCGUUAAGCAUUCCACCUGGGGAGUACGCCGGCAACGGUGAAACUCAAAGGAAUUGACGGGGGCCCGCACAAGCGGAGGAACAUGUGGUUUAAUUCGAUGAUACGCGAGGAACCUUACCCGGGCUCAAACGCAGGAGGGAUGUUUUUGAAAGGAGGCAGCCAGCAAUGGUCUCCUGCGAGGUGCUGCAUGGUUGUCGUCAGCUCGUGCCGUGAGGUGUCGGCUUAAGUGCCAUAACGAGCGCAACCCCUACCUACAGUUGCCAUCGCGUGAUGGCGGGCACUCUGUGGGGACUGCCUGCGCAAGCAGUGAGGAAGGCGGGGAUGACGUCAAAUCAGCACGGCCCUUACGUCCGGGGCGACACACGUGUUACAAUGGCAGGUACAGCGGGAAGCCACCCGGCGACGGGGCGCGGAACCCGAAAACCUGUCUCAGUUCGGAUUGGAGUCUGCAACCCGACUCCAUGAAGCUGGAUUCGCUAGUAAUCGCGCAUCAGCCACGGCGCGGUGAAUACGUUCCCGGGCCUUGUACACACCGCCCGUCAAGCCAUGGAAGCCGGGGGUGCCUGAAGUGCGUGACCGCAAGGAGCGCCCUAGGGUAAAACCGGUGACUGGGGCUAAGUCGUAACAAGGUAGCCGU